This 1343-nucleotide ribosomal RNA is filed under the name uncultured bacterium. RNAcentral describes it as "16S ribosomal RNA". It matches the Rfam family "Bacterial small subunit ribosomal RNA", at positions 28 to 1378 of the family's 1533-position model. The record is from RNAcentral.
GACGAACGCUGGCGGCGUGCUUAACACAUGCAAGUCGAACGGAAAGGCCCUGCUUUUGUGGGGUGCUCGAGUGGCAAACGGGUGAGUAACACGUGAGUAACCUGCCCUUGACUUUGGGAUAACUUCAGGAAACUGGGGCUAAUACCGGAUAGGAGCUCCUGCUGCAUGGUGGGGGUUGGAAAGUUUCGGCGGUUGGGGAUGGACUCGCGGCUUAUCAGCUUGUUGGUGGGGUAGUGGCUUACCAAGGCUUUGACGGGUAGCCGGCCUGAGAGGGUGACCGGCCACAUUGGGACUGAGAUACGGCCCAGACUCCUACGGGAGGCAGCAGUGGGGAAUAUUGCACAAUGGGCGGAAGCCUGAUGCAGCAACGCCGCGUGCGGGAUGACGGCCUUCGGGUUGUAAACCGCUUUCGCCUGUGACGAAGCGUGAGUGACGGUAAUGGGUAAAGAAGCACCGGCUAACUACGUGCCAGCAGCCGCGGUGAUACGUAGGGUGCGAGCGUUGUCCGGAUUUAUUGGGCGUAAAGGGCUCGUAGGUGGUUGAUCGCGUCGGAAGUGUAAUCUUGGGGCUUAACCCUGAGCGUGCUUUCGAUACGGGUUGACUUGAGGAAGGUAGGGGAGAAUGGAAUUCCUGGUGGAGCGGUGGAAUGCGCAGAUAUCAGGAGGAACACCAGUGGCGAAGGCGGUUCUCUGGGCCUUUCCUGACGCUGAGGAGCGAAAGCGUGGGGAGCGAACAGGCUUAGAUACCCUGGUAGUCCACGCUGUAAACGGUGGGUACUAGGUGUGGGGUCCAUUCCACGGGUUCCGUGCCGUAGCUAACGCUUUAAGUACCCCGCCUGGGGAGUACGGCCGCAAGGCUAAAACUCAAAGGAAUUGACGGGGCCCCGCACAAGCGGCGGAGCAUGCGGAUUAAUUCGAUGCAACGCGUAGAACCUUACCUGGGUUUGACAUGGAUCGGGAGUGCUCAGAGAUGGGUGUGCCUCUUUUGGGGUCGGUUCACAGGUGGUGCAUGGCUGUCGUCAGCUCGUGUCGUGAGAUGUUGGGUUAAGUCCCGCAACGAGCGCAACCCUUGUUCACUGUUGCCAGCACGUUAUGGUGGGGACUCAGUGGAGACCGCCGGGGUCAACUCGGAGGAAGGUGGGGAUGACGUCAAGUCAUCAUGCCCCUUACGUCCAGGGCUUCACGCAUGCUACAAUGGCUGGUACAGAGAGUGGCGAGCCUGUGAGGGUGAGCGAAUCUCGGAAAGCCGGUCUCAGUUCGGAUUGGGGUCUGCAACUCGACCUCAUGAAGUCGGAGUCGCUAGUAAUCGCAGAUCAGCAACGCUGCGGUGAAUACGUUCCCGGG